AGAACACUGCGGCUAUUGUCCUGUUAAAACGAACAAAUUCCCCUCUACCAAACUGUCCAUUUUAUGUUUGGCGGGAAAGGAAGGGGGUAUGCCUCUUCCGAGCAUGCCACACUUCUGCUGGUAAAUGCUCCUUUCCUAUAAUUGACUGAAUGCACACAAGUGCCCUUCCGCACCCACCAAGAAAUAGCAGGUCCUGACAUGGGAAUGGAACCAUAUUUCCUUGCUCUUUUAUCAACAUCGUAAAAUCUCUUCAUCCUUUCCAAGUAGAGGGGAGUUUUGGCAAAGAGGGGAGUUUUUUCUCCAGGGUGACAAAAAGCACUUUCUCUCUACUCUUUUGUUGUGCCGUUGGAUUCGAAACCCUUUUGCCCCGAGAACAAUACACUGCAGAGUUACUUUAUGUUGCCGCUUUCCGCUGUGCUUUCUCCGACCCUUGGAAUAAUAGGCCGCCAUUUUAAAGGCAGAGAACAUGUAGCUGCAGUGAAUCUAAGUUGAAUGCAAGUCAGGCCCGUAAGUACUGCUACUCCAACUCUUGGCUGGACUGCUCUAAGAGGUUUGAUUUAAAGAAAGCAAUGUGGCACUCCAGUUAGAAGGCCCAGCAAGCAGGAAAUGGACUCACACAUCAAUAGAAUGCUAACCACCCCGGUGGGCACACAACCCAGAAGGAGGGAAGCUUUCAAGGAGGUGCAGUUCUGACUCCCUUAACAUGAAGGUGGAAUACAGAAGAAGCCCUGCGGCAGGAUGGAGAUGGACAGAUGUGUCAGGACUUGGCAUCUGAAUUUGCGAGGUUUCUGUCUCUAAACGAGAGCUUCCUAACCAUGGCACUGACCCCCGCCCCUUCCUUCACAGUGCAGGGAGAAUGAGAGAAUGAGGGUUUCUAGCGCUCCAGGUCUAAAGAAAAAGAAGCCCACAGCCUCCUCAGGACUAACAACUCUGACUGAUAAUGCAGCCCUCCUUUUAACCAAAAUCCCUCCUGGUGGAUCUAGAAUUCAUCUGUCAGCCCCUUGAUGAGCUCCACUGAAGGACAGCACUGGGAUCACCUGCAUUGCUUCUCCCAUGUACCUGGUGAAGAAAACAGAUGGCAGAGGAGCCCAUCCUCACUGCUGUGACGUGGAGUGGGAAAUAACUAACUGGAGAUGCCAUUGACAGUGUCAGUGAGGGAGGUGGGUAUUGCCCCUGGAAAGAAAAUUACAUAAAGACGUAUAGCUAUAUCUUAAGGAGGCCAUUGCUACAGUGCAUAUACUGUGAAAG
This is a long non-coding RNA of Pan paniscus (pygmy chimpanzee), 1248 nucleotides long. Lineage: Eukaryota; Metazoa; Chordata; Mammalia; Primates; Hominidae. The record is from Ensembl.